GACGAACGCUGGCGGCGUGCUUAACACAUGCAAGUCGAACGGAAAGGCCCUGCUUUUGUGGGGUGCUCGAGUGGCGAACGGGUGAGUAACACGUGAGUAACCUGCCCUUGACUUUGGGAUAACUUCAGGAAACUGGGGCUAAUACCGGAUAGGAGCUCCUGCUGCAUGGUGGGGGUUGGAAAGUUUCGGCGGUUGGGGAUGGACUCGCGGCUUAUCAGCUUGUUGGUGGGGUAGUGGCUUACCAAGGCUUUGACGGGUAGCCGGCCUGAGAGGGUGACCGGCCACAUUGGGACUGAGAUACGGCCCAGACUCCUACGGGAGGCAGCAGUGGGGAAUAUUGCACAAUGGGCGGAAGCCUGAUGCAGCAACGCCGCGUGCGGGAUGACGGCCUUCGGGUUGUAAACCGCUUUCGCCUGUGACGAAGCGUGAGUGACGGUAAUGGGUAAAGAAGCACCGGCUAACUACGUGCCAGCAGCCGCGGUGAUACGUAGGGUGCGAGCGUUGUCCGGAUUUAUUGGGCGUAAAGGGCUCGUAGGUGGUUGAUCGCGUCGGAAGUGUAAUCUUGGGGCUUAACCCUGAGCGUGCUUUCGAUACGGGUUGACUUGAGGAAGGUAGGGGAGAAUGGAAUUCCUGGUGGAGCGGUGGAAUGCGCAGAUAUCAGGAGGAACACCAGUGGCGAAGGCGGUUCUCUGGGCCUUUCCUGACGCUGAGGAGCGAAAGCGUGGGGAGCGAACAGGCUUAGAUACCCUGGUAGUCCACGCUGUAAACGGUGGGUACUAGGUGUGGGGUCCAUUCCACGGGUUCCGUGCCGUAGCUAACGCUUUAAGUACCCCGCCUGGGGAGUACGGCCGCAAGGCUAAAACUCAAAGGAAUUGACGGGGCCCCGCACAAGCGGCGGAGCAUGCGGAUUAAUUCGAUGCAACGCGUAGAACCUUACCUGGGUUUGACAUGGAUCGGGAGUGCUCAGAGAUGGGUGUGCCUCUUUUGGGGUCGGUUCACAGGUGGUGCAUGGCUGUCGUCAGCUCGUGUCGUGAGAUGUUGGGUUAAGUCCCGCAACGAGCGCAACCCUUGUUCACUGUUGCCAGCACGUUAUGGUGGGGACUCAGUGGAGACCGCCGGGGUCAACUCGGAGGAAGGUGGGGAUGACGUCAAGUCAUCAUGCCCCUUAUGUCCAGGGCUUCACGCAUGCUACAAUGGCUGGUACAGAGAGUGGCGAGCCUGUGAGGGUGAGCGAAUCUCGGAAAGUCGGUCUCAGUUCGGAUUGGGGUCUGCAACUCGACCUCAUGAAGUCGGAGUCGCUAGUAAUCGCAGAUCGGCAACGCUGCGGUGAAUACGUUCCCGGGGCU
Molecule: ribosomal RNA, 1346 nt
Filed under: uncultured bacterium
Lineage: Bacteria
Description: partial 16S ribosomal RNA
Rfam family: Bacterial small subunit ribosomal RNA
Source: RNAcentral